This 254-nucleotide ribosomal RNA is filed under the name uncultured bacterium. Its description in RNAcentral is "partial 16S ribosomal RNA". It matches the Rfam family "Bacterial small subunit ribosomal RNA", at positions 107 to 354 of the family's 1533-position model. The record is from RNAcentral.
UGAGUAACACGUGAGUGACCUGCCUUUUAGACUGGAACAACUUACCGAAAGGUGAGCUAAUGCCGGAUGAGUUAUAUAAGUGCAUGUUUAUAUAGGAAAAGUUGGGGAGACCUGACGCUGAAAGAUGGACUCGCGUCCCAUUAGCUAGUUGGUAGGGUAAUGGCCUACCAAGGCGACGAUGGGUAGCCGGCCUGAGAGGGUGGCCGGCCACACUGGGACUGGGACACGGCCCAGACUCCUACGGGAGGCAGCAG